GAGUCUGAUCUAUCGAGCUGGGUAUGUUUGGAAAGCUACAGAACAGUAGUCACAGAAAGACUGCGUGAGACAGAGUCCUAGCCUGUCUGUCCGGCCAGUCGAACCUCAUGUGUUUGCUGCUUUCAUUUCCCCUUGGCUCAGGAAGCGACAGUUUGGUUUUGCAAAGGAAGGCUGGGGACCUCUGCCAGCUUGCUAACAGCCUUGCCCCAUUCAGAUGCAUCGAACUCACAGAACAUCGCUCCCCAGCUGCCGGCCCGCAGUUCGGAGAGUGCCUGAAUAGAAAACCACUCAUUUCCCUUCGCGAAAGAGGCGCCCAAAACAGAUAUUUCAAUAUAUUCCAAUUUAGCCGAGGGAAGCCAGAACAUGGAUGUUGUUGCCAAGGAAACCACCUCGUCCUCCUGUGUGCUGUGCAUACGUGUAUCACUUCAUCUCUCUGCUCUCCAAGCUGGAAUCCAGGUCUGACGUGGGUAUCCUGCCCCAGUUCUGGAGUCUGCCUGGUGCCCCAGCCGAACCUGCCCUGGCUCCUGGGUGGGGUAUGGACAUCCAUGCCAUCCCCCCACCAACACCCCACCAAGCUGGGAUGCAAAACAGGUUAUGGCGGCCCCAUGGCUUCCUUCUUUGGUAAGCCACAGGUCUUCCUUGCUAACUGCUUUGCUGUUGGUCAUUGCAGAGAAAUAGUUAGGGGACAAUGAGAACCACCUGAGAUGUGGCAAAGGCUCUAGGACCUUGUCGUCUGCUGAAGCUCCAGUCCUUGUGCUGCCUCUCCUGAGUGGCAUCUGUGAUGGCAAACAAAAGUCUCCUCGGGCUUCACCCCUGCUUUCUUUGUAAGUGGUACUUAUCCCCCACCGCCUCCCAGCCUUCUUCUGACCAGCUCCCUCUUCUGAUAGGUUUAUUUCCAUGAAGUUCUUCAGGGUUAGAAACAUGAACUUUUAGAACUGGGUGACUGAAGUUGGAAUCCAUCUCCACCACUAACUAGCUGUGCGACCUUGGAUAUGUUACUUAAAUUCCAUGCCUCAGUUUCCUUUUCUGUGAAAUGGGCAUAAUAAUAUCUACCUAGC
Molecule: non-coding RNA, 1058 nt
Organism: Saimiri boliviensis boliviensis (Bolivian squirrel monkey)
Lineage: Eukaryota; Metazoa; Chordata; Mammalia; Primates; Cebidae
Source: RefSeq, a predicted model, not a curated record